Pezoporus occidentalis (night parrot) is the source of this 1099-nucleotide long non-coding RNA. RefSeq lists it as uncharacterized. Lineage: Eukaryota; Metazoa; Chordata; Aves; Psittaciformes; Psittacidae. The record is from RefSeq and is a predicted model, not a curated record. The transcript is spliced from 2 exons.
AACACCUCUUCUUCAUCAUCUCCAGGGAAAGGAGACUAUAAGGCAAGUAAUGAAAUACUAUUAACAGGCUUAAGCAUUACUUAAAAUUGAAAAGAUGUGUCUAAUUCCAAACUGGCAGCGGACUAUGCCCUGAAAUGAAGUCUUCCUGUUCCCAGAAACCAAAUAUGGUAGUUUUUCUUGAGGAAGAGAGAAAAGGCAAGUUAGUGUUGUCCCUUAACUCCUACUGCAGGAUUCAGCUUUACAAAUACGUUUUUAGAAGUAGAAACACCUAAACCAGGGAUCAUCUUUAAACUAUUGACACAAGAUACACAGGGAAUGUGGGAAGUACGGAUCAGCUUUUCUUCAGGACAGCUGCUAUCCACAAGUAACACAGUCCAGACUAAUUUGCUUUUGUCAUAUCUUCAGCAUGUGACAGCUCCAGGGUUUUCAAACUGUUCUGAAGUGGCCUGACAGAUGUAGGUGACACCCUAGAACCUUUUUAUCUUUUAGCACAGAGGCCAUCUAUGUACUACCUGGAGAUACUUGAACAGAAUGGUCUGGAAGGUAAAGCAGCAUACACAAGGUAAAUAAUUACUCAGUAGUAAUUUAUUUAUACUAGCUCAUUUACAUGGAACUGGGGCAUUCUGUUUUAGUGCAGGUGUAAUUCAGAUGGUAAACAGCAUUGUCUUGGACCAGCUACAACUCAUUCACUUCUACAACUACUGAUAAUUCAAGCUCAUGGCAUGAUCAUCAACUUCUGCAGCAUUACAGCAGCUAGUAUCAGGCUCUCGGGUGUUGGUGUAUUUUAUAUCUGAAUGGGGAACAUCAGACCCACAGAUUAUUUCAGGCUGGAGUUUUGGGACAAUACUAUUUCUGCCAUUUUCAAAAUCAAAAGUUGUUACUUCAUCCUGUGAAGAAAAACAAGGCUGAAGAUUUAAAACUGAUUGUGAAGGCAAAUGAAUGCAGAAAUUUUACUGAAGGCCUGUGAAAGUCUUAACACAAGAUUUAUCUAAGCUAAAACAGUAGAGUUCAAGAUGAUACAGAGAAACAAGGUUUGAGUGAUGAAACCUAUUGCUACAGUCAUUCAGCUUUUUGUUAAUAAAGCCAUUUAUUCUCUGAA